UCCCUGUUGGCUCAGAGGGUAAAGAAUCUGCCUGCAAUGCAGGAAACCCAGGUUCAAUCCCUGGGUCAGGAA
Molecule: transfer RNA, 72 nt
Filed under: Ovis aries (sheep)
Lineage: Eukaryota; Metazoa; Chordata; Mammalia; Artiodactyla; Bovidae
Rfam family: tRNA
About the family: Transfer RNA (tRNA) molecules are approximately 80 nucleotides in length. Their secondary structure includes four short double-helical elements and three loops (D, anti-codon, and T loops).
Source: Rfam by way of RNAcentral